AUGGCGACUCUUUCCGACGCCCACUCCGCCACGGGUGGCGGCGGCGACGCCGCGGCUGCACGUUCGGAUCUGGGUGACUUCCUCUAGCAGUUGGAUCUGAACAAUGAUGACUUUGCUGAUGUGGAGAUCGACGAGGAUGAUCCUCCGAUUCAAGAAAGCGUCCGCUGGCUUGCCCUAGCCACGGUCCAUACAAGUAGGAAGUUCAGCCCGUCUGCCUUCUACAAGGAUAUGAGGGCUGCAUGGAACCCCGCGCAGGACGUGAGAUUUCGGCCGGUUGGCCCUAAUCGUUUUAUCGUCCAAGCAUCUUGCUUGGGGGAUUGGGAA
This 324-nucleotide ribosomal RNA is filed under the name Triticum aestivum (bread wheat). Its description in RNAcentral is "partial small subunit ribosomal RNA". The record is from RNAcentral. Lineage: Eukaryota; Viridiplantae; Streptophyta; Magnoliopsida; Poales; Poaceae.